RNAcentral lists this unclassified non-coding RNA (411 nucleotides) under uncultured Glomeromycotina. RNAcentral describes it as "sequence contains 28S rRNA gene". The record is from RNAcentral. Lineage: Eukaryota; Fungi; Glomeromycota.
AAAGUCAAAUAGCACGUGAAAUUGUUGAAAGGGAAACGAUUAAAGUCAGUCGUACCGAUGGGCAUUCAGCCUCUUGAGUGCGAUUACGUCGGGUGUUGGGGAGCUUAACCGCCCUCGCGCUUGGGUAUUUGUGCUCUACGGGUGUACUUGUCCGUAUGGUAGGUUAACAUCAAUUUUGGACAUCAUAAAAUGACGGGAGGAAUGUAGCUUCGAUCUCGUAUUGAAGUGUUAUAGCCUCUGGUAGAUGUGAUGACCGGGAUUGAGGAUUGCAACGAACCCUUCGGGGCCACCUGUCUGGCCUCUGGUGGUCGCUCUGGAGCUGAAAGCGUGCUUAUGGCUAUCAAAGUUGGCUGCCAAAAGGUUAGAACGGGUUGAAUUCGUUAAGGAUGUUGACGUAAUGGCUUUAAACGA